RNAcentral lists this long non-coding RNA (1157 nucleotides) under Zostera marina. RNAcentral describes it as "long non-coding RNA (ZMAR_LNC003640)". Lineage: Eukaryota; Viridiplantae; Streptophyta; Magnoliopsida; Alismatales; Zosteraceae. The record is from RNAcentral.
UAUAGGUUUUUAUAAUCAAUUAUAUGAAUAGGUCAUGCCAAAAUUUGUAUAGGUUUUUUAAUUAGUAAAAAAAAAAAAUUUCGCCUUCGACGAAUCUUGCCCCCCCUGCCGGGGAAUCCUGGAUACGCCACUGCAUGAGACAUAUGAUCAAUCUUUCUGAAAAACAGAUUUAAUAAACAAAAAAGUCAUUAAAGAAAAUAAUCAGAAAUAGGACAACAACUAUCGAAUUUCAGGAACUACAUGAACGUAUUGAGGAACAAUAAGACUAACAUUGAAAUGAACAACAAAACAAGGUUACAGAUUCAAAAAAUAAAACCAAAAAUAAAAUAAAAACAGAAAAAACAUUAACUUGGAUAGACACAUUUUCGAUUACUGUAAAAACAUACAACAACAAAAAUUACAAAAAUAUUUCUAUAAACACAUGGUCACACAUGGUAUUGUGAAUCAAAAAACAGAACACAAAUUACAAAAAUUAGGAACAACAAUAUUUGGAUAGAUACAUGUUAGAUUACUAAAAAAAACAUACAAAAGGGGAGACAAAAAUUAAACAUACGGAUUUCUAGAACACAAAUUAAGAACAAAUGGAAACAAGUCACAUACAGACCAAAAAAAACGAAGAAGAAGGACAUCAAACAAAGGCAGUCAAAAAAAAUAAGAACAAUGAAAUAGAUGCCCAAAAGGGGAAGAAGAUAUGGAAGUUGGUGAUAGGGAUGGCGAUGGUGGAGAACAAACAAAAUGGACGUAGGUCUGGAAGAAGUAACCUACGUACAAUGAGACAACACGGUCUGGUCGGAUGAAAUGAAGCAAUCGAAGAUAAGAAAACAGUCAAGGCCGACGACGCAACCGUAGGUGGAGACUGGAACGACGAGGCAACACUCUGGAACGGCGAGGCAAUACCGGACUGACUGAAAACGCGAACACAAGAAUAGACAACGACGAACGACGGAGAGGCAAGAUCGAGACGCGAACGCGAUCUGGAACUGGAGAUGACCGGAAGAAGAAAUUAGUCGAUCGUCACUGUGGGUGUGGAAGGGUUUAACGCCUGGAGGAGAUGAGGAAAUGAAAGAAUUGGAUGGGAAACAAAAAAAAAAAACGUACUCUCUGAAAAGGUGUUGUAACCGACACCGGUUCACUCUGUUUAUCACUUACACAAAAAU